UUGAUCCUGGCUCAGAUUGAACGCUGGCGGCAUGCCUUACACAUGCAAGUCGAACGGUAACAGGUCUUUCGGGAUGCUGACGAGUGGCGAACGGGUGAGUAAUACAUCGGAACGUGCCUAGUAGUGGGGGAUAACUACUCGAAAGAGUGGCUAAUACCGCAUGAGAUCUAUGGAUGAAAGCAGGGGACCUUCGGGCCUUGUGCUACUAGAGCGGCCGAUGGCAGAUUAGGUAGUUGGUGGGAUAAAAGCUUACCAAGCCUACGAUCUGUAGCUGGUCUGAGAGGACGAUCAGCCACACUGGGACUGAGACACGGCCCAGACUCCUACGGGAGGCAGCAGUGGGGAAUUUUGGACAAUGGGGGAAACCCUGAUCCAGCAAUGCCGCGUGCAGGAUGAAGGCCUUCGGGUUGUAAACUGCUUUUGUACGGAACGAAAAGUCUUGGGUUAAUACCCUGGGAUCAUGACGG
RNAcentral lists this ribosomal RNA (467 nucleotides) under Comamonas sp. R-28449. RNAcentral's name for it is "bacterial SSU rRNA". It matches the Rfam family "Bacterial small subunit ribosomal RNA", at positions 13 to 475 of the family's 1533-position model. Lineage: Bacteria; Pseudomonadati; Pseudomonadota; Betaproteobacteria; Burkholderiales; Comamonadaceae. The record is from RNAcentral.